This 513-nucleotide ribosomal RNA is filed under the name uncultured bacterium. RNAcentral's name for it is "partial 16S ribosomal RNA". It matches the Rfam family "Bacterial small subunit ribosomal RNA", at positions 28 to 523 of the family's 1533-position model. The record is from RNAcentral.
GACGAACGCUGGCGGCGUGCCUAAUACAUGCAAGUUGAGCGCUGAAGGUUGGUACUUGUACCGACUGGAUGAGCAGCGAACGGGUGAGUAACGCGUGAGGAAUCUGCCUUUGAGCGGGGGACAACAUUUGGAAACGAAUGCUAAUACCGCAUAAAAACUUUAAACACAAGUUUUAAGUUUGAAAGAUGCAAUUGCAUCACUCAAAGAUGAUCCCGCGUUGUAUUAGCUAGUUGGUGAGGUAAAGGCUCACCAAGGCGAUGAUACAUAGCCGACCUGAGAGGGUGAACGGCCACAUUGGGACGGAGACACGGCCCAAACUCCUACGGGAGGCAGCAGUAGGGAAUCUUCGGCAAUGGACGAAAGUCUGACCGAGCAACGCCGCGUGAGUGAAGAAGGUUUUCGGAUCGUAAAACUCUGUUGGUAGAGAAGAACGUUGGUGAGAGUGGAAAGCUCAUCAAGUGACGGUAACUACCCAGAAAGGGACGGCUAACUACGUGCCAGCCGCCGCCGUAA